AGAUAAUUAGGGAUCACUGCAGGGAUUAUAGUAUUAGUAGUGCAGAUAGCAGGAAGCCAGCCCAUGUAUUAUUUGGUUGAACUAAAUAUUGUCAGCAGCAAUAUUUCAUGUCCAUCAUCAUUUAGAAAUGCUCAUGAAAGGGCUAGAUUAGAUUUCUUGUAAGAUUUCAUAUUGUGUUUGAUAUUGCCACUAGGAGAGGCAAUGUCUGUGUUUUGGCCACCAAGGUAACGUUACACCUACUGGCGGUUCCAUAUCUUAGGCAAUUUUGAAGCCUUGCUCCUGUGCCCUGUAAAAUUUUGUGCAGGUGUUGCCUGUGCCUGAGUUGUAUAAAUUUUGUAAAAUUAUUUUCAGUUUGGUUUGUUGAAUUUCCCCAGCCGAAGAUAGCAUUAGAUUGGAU
This 397-nucleotide unclassified non-coding RNA is filed under the name Hevea brasiliensis (rubber tree). Lineage: Eukaryota; Viridiplantae; Streptophyta; Magnoliopsida; Malpighiales; Euphorbiaceae. The record is from RNAcentral.